GGCUGAUCCUAGUGCAGCGGUGUUUACAACUAAUUGAUCACAACCAGUUACAGAUGUCUUUGCUCCUUCUCCACUCCACUGCUUCACUUAACUACAGA
RNAcentral lists this non-coding RNA (98 nucleotides) under Saimiri boliviensis boliviensis (Bolivian squirrel monkey). Lineage: Eukaryota; Metazoa; Chordata; Mammalia; Primates; Cebidae. The record is from RNAcentral.